RNAcentral lists this ribosomal RNA (1325 nucleotides) under Leucocraspedum sp. NLG-2014. RNAcentral's name for it is "partial 16S ribosomal RNA". Lineage: Eukaryota; Metazoa; Arthropoda; Insecta; Coleoptera; Staphylinidae. The record is from RNAcentral.
UAAGUGAUGAUCCACGAUUAGAAUCACUUAAAUUAUAAAUUUGUAUAUCGUUGUAGUUGAAUAUUUUUAUAAAAUUAAAAUAUUCAUAAUUUAAAUUUUAAAAAAAAUCAAAUCAAGGUGCAGUUUAUAUUUAAGAAGAAAUGGGUUACAAUAAUAAAAAUUUUAGAAUUUAAAUUUAAAAUUGGAAUGAAAUUGGAUUUAAAUGUAAUUUUAUUAAUUUAAUUAAAAUGAUUAUAGCUCUAAAAUAUGUACAUAUUGCCCGUCGCUCUCAAUUAAAUUGAGAUAAGUCGUAACAUAGUAAAUGUACUGGAAAGUGUAUUUAGUUUACUCAAAUUAGAGCUUGUAAAAGUAUUUUAUUUACAUUAAAAGGAAAAUUAUUUAUUAAUUUAAUGAAUUAAAAAAAUUAUUUUUUGAAUAUUUUAUAAUUAAAAUAAAAUUAUGUUAAAUUAUUAAAUUUAGAAAUUAAUAAUUUUUAUUAUAGUAAAUUAGUAUCGAAAGAGAAUUUUUUUAAUUUUAAAAAAGAAGUAUUUAAUUUAUGUACCUUGUGUUUCAGGGUUUUUUUAAUAAAAAUUAAUAAAAUUAAUUUUCUCGAAUUUAAAAGAGUUAAUUUUUAAUAUAUUUUUUUGUUGAAUAAAAAUUUAAAAUUAAAAAUUAGUAAUGAAACGUUAUUCGUUUUUUAAGAUAUCUAGUUUUAAAAGAAAAAAAUUUAAUUUUUUUAGUAUAAUAUUAUUAAUUUAAUAAUUUUAAAAAUUAUGCUAAUAAUAUUAAUAGGGAUUAGCUUAUUGAUAAAGUAAUAAAAAUUUAUAAAUUAAAUAAAAAUUUUGUAGAAUUAAUAAUAUUUUUCAUUUAGUUUGUUAUAAUUAAUUUAAUAUUUUUAAAAAAUUUUUAUAAAUUUUAUUUAUUUUAUUUUAAUAAAAAAUUUAAUUAAUUAAAAUUUUUGUAAUAAUGAUAAAAUUAGUAUAAUAAAAUGUAAUUAAUAAAUAAAAUUAUUAUAUGAUAAGAAGGAAUUCGGCAAAUAAGUUUUCGCCUGUUUAUUAAAAACAUGUCUUUUUGAGUUUUAUUUAAAGUCUAACCUGCCCAAUGAAUAUAUUUAAUGGCCGCAGUAUUUUGACUGUGCAAAGGUAGCAUAAUCAUUAGUUUUUUAAUUGAAAGCUGGAAUGAAAGGUUGAACGAAAAAUUUACUGUCUCUUUAUUAAUUUAUUAGAAUUUUAUUUUUUAGUAAAAAAGCUUAAAUUUAUUUAAAAGACGAGAAGACCCUAUAGAGUUUUAUAUAAUACAUUAAUCAAUGAUUAAUUAUUAAUUUAAUUUUUUAAUUUAUUAUAUUU